RNAcentral lists this transfer RNA (72 nucleotides) under Manacus vitellinus (golden-collared manakin). It matches the Rfam family "tRNA". Rfam says of the family: Transfer RNA (tRNA) molecules are approximately 80 nucleotides in length. Their secondary structure includes four short double-helical elements and three loops (D, anti-codon, and T loops). The record is from Rfam by way of RNAcentral. Lineage: Eukaryota; Metazoa; Chordata; Aves; Passeriformes; Pipridae.
CCCCUGGUGGUCUAGUGGUUAGGAUGUGGCGCUCUCACCGCCGUGGCCUGGGUUCGAUUCCCGGUCAGGGAA